RNAcentral lists this transfer RNA (71 nucleotides) under Scinax caissara. Its description in RNAcentral is "tRNA-Val". It matches the Rfam family "tRNA". Rfam says of the family: Transfer RNA (tRNA) molecules are approximately 80 nucleotides in length. Their secondary structure includes four short double-helical elements and three loops (D, anti-codon, and T loops). Further hydrogen bonds mediate the characteristic L-shaped molecular structure. tRNAs have two regions of fundamental functional importance: the anti-codon, which is responsible for specific mRNA codon recognition, and the 3' end, to which the tRNAs corresponding amino acid is attached (by aminoacyl-tRNA synthetases). tRNAs cope with the degeneracy of the genetic code in two manners: having more than one tRNA (with a specific anti-codon) for a particular amino acid; and 'wobble' base-pairing, i.e. permitting non-standard base-pairing at the 3rd anti-codon position. Lineage: Eukaryota; Metazoa; Chordata; Amphibia; Anura; Hylidae. The record is from RNAcentral.
CAAAACGUAGCUUAACCCUAAAGCCCCUCGCUUACACCGAGUAAAUGUCUGUUAAACCCAGAUCGUUUUGA